AAGAGACAUGUAGGCUUCAUUGGUUU
RNAcentral lists this non-coding RNA (26 nucleotides) under Cricetulus griseus (Chinese hamster). The record is from RNAcentral. Lineage: Eukaryota; Metazoa; Chordata; Mammalia; Rodentia; Cricetidae.